RNAcentral lists this small RNA (1091 nucleotides) under Vigna angularis var. angularis. RNAcentral describes it as "Non-protein coding transcript". The record is from RNAcentral. Lineage: Eukaryota; Viridiplantae; Streptophyta; Magnoliopsida; Fabales; Fabaceae.
CUCUGCCAUAUAAAUCGGAUACAAAGGGCCAUUAAAAACCUCUGCAAAUUAAUAGCUCUAACUCUAAUUGCGGGUGUUUGAAAAAUCCCUAGAAAUUAAUUUGCUGAGAUUAAAAUCCUCCGCAAAAUGAAAAAUAAACCUCCACUAAAAUUUGGAGGUUUUUAUAUGAUUGAGAUGAUCUUGUGGAUUCAUAUGCUUCAAUUUUUUUCCUACAUUCAACAUUUAAUAAAAUAGUGAAAUUGUCUAAAUUAGAGAAAACAAAUGCACAAUUCCAAAACAACAAGGUCAAACACAAAUCAGUGAGAUUCCUUUGUUAAGAGGAGCAAAAACACAACAAAGAAAAUGAAAAAUUGUAUGUAAGUUAAAUAGUUAAAUGUGACUCCAGUACUUAAAUACCAGUGGUCCCUCAAUAUUAAUGUUGUUCAAUCAAAAUCUUAUCAAUUGUUAUUGAUAUCUUAGGACCUCUUAUUAACUCCUUUCUCUCUUUAACCAAAAAUAAUGUGAUAUCUUAGGACCUCUUAUUAUCUUAGGACCUCUUCUAUUAUAAUCUCAUGUACUAUGACCAAUUUCUAAGGUUUUGGAAGAACAUAAACAAACAAAUAGGUUAGUUAUUUAAGGAAACAAAACACUUACAUUAACUUGAAAAAAAAAUUCAUUUGAGGACUAAAUCAAGAAACUUUUUGAAUGUCAUAAAAAUAAAUUUAUAAAAUACUGACCUUUUAUGUCUAGCUUAAAUCAAGAAACUUGUAAUUGAUCUCCAACUCAAUUUACUGUUUAGUAAAUGUAAAGACUUGAGGGAUGAGAGUCCACUAAAAGUAGAAUAUCAGUGUGGUUGAGCAUCUACGCAGAUGCGAGGAAUUCAGAGAGCAAACACGACCUACGCAGCGACAAUGCCUUGACGACGAACACAACGCAGGGGAAGACCAACAAGAAGAUGGUGCGGGGCUUGGAGGAAAAUGAUUAUGGUGAACUUUUUGGAGGAAAAUGUAUGAAGGCAGAAAUGAAUUGAGAAAGAGAAUUAGGGUUUAGGGAAAAUUAGGAGUAGAAAUGAAGUCCUAUUCAGUGUUAGAUAGUAAGUGUCGUGAAGUAUU